Molecule: long non-coding RNA, 2327 nt
Organism: Helianthus annuus (common sunflower)
Lineage: Eukaryota; Viridiplantae; Streptophyta; Magnoliopsida; Asterales; Asteraceae
Exons: 8
Source: RefSeq, a predicted model, not a curated record
AUUCUCCUUAGCCACAUGGCCUAUUCUUAGCCAAUCAAUUGGGUGAUGUGGACACUCUCUUUGGCCAGAGAAUUCAUCUUAGGCGCCAAUCUCUUUUCCACUAUUCUCCUUCUCACGUACGUUUCUUCACCCCGCCUCUCUCUUCAAUCAAAUACAUCUUUCCUUUUUCCUGAUUGCUUUCCCAUUUCAUAGUACAGAAACCCUAGGUUUCUUUCUCUGCGGCUUUGUUGUCGAUUUGAAGGUCAUCGCUCUCAAUCAAUCCUCUGGGUCGUUUGUUUCAUCUAUUGCUUCAGCACUGAUGUCAUCGCACCAUCAAAUUUCUUCUUUUUCAGCCCCCAUCCAAUCCAGAGAUCGUCCGCCACCACUUAUUUCCUUCUGAAUUGACUCUACAAGAGGAACCUAAUGGUGUGAUAUGAUGAAUCAAGGAGGAGUUUCAAACACCAGAACGACACUGGACCAGAAAGUUUCACUUGAGGUGUUUGAUAAAUAACAUUGCCUCUCUCGCCAUGGUUCUAGACAAGUAAUUCCCCCUCCCUCCCCUUCUCAUACCUGCAGGUUGCUUUCUUUUGUUAUUAUCGUUACUACACACCUAUAAAUAUGUGAUCAGUAAUAUACAAUAACUUCUGUUUUGUUCUUCUAUAAAACGGGGACUGGUGGGCAUGCAGAAACCUCCAAGAGUUGACUGAAGGUUGCUCAUCCUUCAGUGACAAUUUUGACCUGUUUACUUUUAAUGGGUCGAUUAGACAUAUAUUUGGAAAAAAAAACUUUCUUUUUGGUCUCAAGAAGACAACCAUAUCAGGCAAGUCCUGAUAACAAUGAGAGUUUGAAGUUUAGGUGGCUGAGCUGCAUUAACACUCAUCAUUAACACUAAAUCUGUAGAUUUGAAAUUAAGCAAAGGAAAUCACCAACCAGUCUAGCCGGUAUGCGUCAUACCACGGGAAAAUUCAUUGACGUUAACAUCUUUGAUCUUUUCUGUCCUUAGAUCUUGCCACUCCAUAAACUGUGAGUCUAUAACUGCUAUAAUCUUUUGGAUUGCAAGAUUCAACCCUAUCAAUUUAGGUUUCUGGCGAUACAUUCAGGGAGGGAGAUACGGUAAAUAUGCCUCCAAAGGAAGAGCAUUAUCAGUCACAACGAAUCUAAUCGGUUCCAACCGAACAGUGGUGUAAAUCAGAUGUUGCAUUCUUUUGAUUAUAUCCCAAAUUUAUUAUUUUUAUUUCCACUUGGUGUUUGCGUCAUAUCCUUUAUACAACCCGUGUAACACACGGGAACUUAAGCUAUAGUGCCACGUGUGUGUGUGUUUUUGUAGUCAAGUGGGUUCUCUACAUGUUUCGCAUCGACGGCUGUCUGUUUAUACACACCUUCAAAAAACUUUUGCCUACUGUAUUUUUUUCUAGAUUGAUGUUUUAUCUAAUAGGUUUCAGUAGAAUAAUGUGAUAAUUGGAUCUUUGUUGUUUAAUAUUCUUGAUUCUUCUAUUACAUCUUCAUCCCUGUUUGUUUCCAUAGGUUUUAUUCCUUUUUUUUCUUGAAAGUUGCAAGCGAUGAUUUUUGGACAUUCAAAAUAAAGUUUCCAUAUCUUUUUUUCCAUAGGCUAAUAUACCUCUAAAACUAUUUUACCAUUUUACCCUCACUUCUUUUUCUGCUUGGAGCGUGGGUGGGUGGGUCAUGGCUGGUGUGUGUGGGUUAGGGCUGGUUGGGUUGGAUUUGGUGAGGAUGAUUGGGCUUUGGGAUGCUUGCAAACUGGUUGUUCAAGGCUCACGCUCUUAUGUCAUUGGAUCUCACAUGCUCUCAAAACAUUGAGAGCUGGUGGCAUCAAGCUAGAUUUGAUUGCACCAAUUGGCAAUAUCGUUUGCUUCUGCAGCUGAACAGUCAGGUACUCUACCUAAAUGAGACCAUUGGCGCUGCUAUUCUAACUCUAAAAAAUUGGAUCAGUUGGGUCAAGGCCCAUUAUGUGUUAUAUAUGGGUUGGAUUUACUUAUCUCCGCUGAAGGCCCAGUCUUGGGUUAGAUGCUGUGUGAAGGAGCGUUUGAAGGUCUGGGCUAAACAGAAUAAAAAGGGUCUGGCUAAUGUGUUGCUGUUGAAGGCCGAGGCUCAGUAAGCCUUGAGUAUUAUUGACGACUCUCACACAUGUUCUGGUGGCACUAUAAAAGUCCAUACAGAGUUCAUGAUCCAAAAAAGCCAUGGCUAAUUUGCAAGGUGGACCACUAAGUACUUCUGACUGUAUUUAUUUUAAAUCUUUAAUAAAAAAUUUAAAAAACUCAUUUUAUAGUUUGUAUAGAGAGGAUAAAGAUAUAAUCUUUGUAAGUUAUAACUGUUUUUUUUUUCUGUGA